GACGAACGCUGGCGGCGUGCUUAACACAUGCAAGUCGAACGGAAAGGCCCUGCUUUUGUGGGGUGCUCGAGUGGCGAACGGGUGAGUAACACGUGAGUAACCUGUCCUUGACUUUGGGAUAACUUCAGGAAACUGGGGCUAAUACCGGAUAGGAGCUCCUGCUGCAUGGUGGGGGUUGGAAAGUUUCGGCGGUUGGGGAUGGACUCGCGGCUUAUCAGCUUGUUGGUGGGGUAGUGGCUUACCAAGGCUUUGACGGGCAGCCGGCCUGAGAGGGUGACCGGCCACAUUGGGACUGAGAUACGGCCCAGACUCCUACGGGAGGCAGCAGUGGGGAAUAUUGCACAAUGGGCGGAAGCCUGAUGCAGCAACGCCGCGUGCGGAAUGACGACCUUCGGGUUGUAAACCGCUUUCGCCUGUGACGAAGCGUGAGUGACGGUAAUGGGUAAAGAAGCACCGGCUAACUACGUG
This 468-nucleotide ribosomal RNA is filed under the name uncultured bacterium. Its description in RNAcentral is "partial 16S ribosomal RNA". It matches the Rfam family "Bacterial small subunit ribosomal RNA", at positions 28 to 507 of the family's 1533-position model. The record is from RNAcentral.